GACGGUACUUGAGGAAUAAGCAUCGGCUAACUCCGUGCCCAGCAGCCGCGGUAAUACGGGGGAUGCAAGCGUUAUCCGGAAUCAUUGGGCGUAAAGCGCCUGUAGGUUGUUUAAUAAGUCUGUUGUUAAAGACUAGGGCUCAACCCUAGAAAAGCAAUGGAAACUACUAGACUUAGAGUAUGGCAGGGGUAGAGGGAAUUUCUAGUGUAGCGGUGAAAUGCGUAGAUAUUAGAAAGAACACCAGUGGCGAAAGCGCUCUACUGGACCAUUACUGACACUCAGAGGCGAAAGCUAGGGUAGCAAAAGGGAUUAGAUACCCCUGUAGUCCUAGCCGUAAACGAUGGAUACUACAUGUUGUAUUUAUUUUACAGUAUGGUAGCUAACGCGUUAAGUAUCCCGCCUGGGGAGUACGCUCGCAAGGGUGAAACUCAAAGGAAUUGACGGGGGCCCGCACAAGCGGUGGAGCAUGUGGUUUAAUUCGAUGCAACGCGAAGAACCUUACCAGGGCUUGACAUACUGCGAAUCUUUUUGAAAGAAGAGAGUGCCUUCGGGAAUGCAGAUACAGGUGGUGCAUGGCUGUCGUCAGCUCGUGUCGUGAGAUGUUGGGUUAAGUCCCGCAACGAGCGCAACCCUUGUUUUUAGUUACCAACUUGUCGGGUUUUCUAGAAAGACUGCCGGUGACAAACCGGAGGAAGGUGAGGAUGACGUCAAGUCAGCAUGCCCCUUAUGUCCUGGGCUACACACGUGCUACAAUGGCUAGGACAAAGAGUUGCGAGUUCGCGAGAACCAGCUAAUCUCAUAAACCUAGCCUAAGUUCAGAUUGUAGGCUGCAACUCGCCUACAUGAAGUUGGAAUCGCUAGUAAUCGCUGGUCAGCCAUACAGCGGUGAAUCCGUUCCCGGGCCUUGUACACACCGCCCGUCACACCAUGGGAGCUGGUCAUACCCGAAACCGUUAGCUUAACCAUUCGGAGAGCGACGUCUAAGGUAGGGCUAGUGACUGGGGUG
This 1006-nucleotide ribosomal RNA is filed under the name uncultured bacterium. Its description in RNAcentral is "bacterial SSU rRNA". It matches the Rfam family "Bacterial small subunit ribosomal RNA", at positions 471 to 1482 of the family's 1533-position model. The record is from RNAcentral.